AGCGAACGCUGGCGGCAGGCCUAACACAUGCAAGUCGAACGAACCUUUCGGGGUUAGUGGCGGACGGGUGAGUAACACGUUGGAACAUGCCUUUAGGUUCGGCAUAACUCAGGGAAACUUGUGCUAAUACCGAAAGUGCCCUCCGGGGGAAAGCUUAAUCGCCCGUAGAGCGGCCCGCGUCCGAUUAGCUAGUUGGAUGCGGUAAUGGCGCACCAAGGCGACGAUCAGUAGCUGGUGUGAGAGGGUGAUCAGCCACAUUGGGAGUAAGACACGCCCCAAACUCCGACGGGACACAGGAGAGGGGAACAUUGCGCAAUGAGGGAAAGCCAGACGCCUCCAUGCCGCGUGAAUGAUCAAGGUCUUAGGAUAGUAAAGUUCUUUCACCGGGAACGAUUAUGACGGUACCCGAAGAAGAAGCCCCGGCUCACUUCGUG
This 434-nucleotide ribosomal RNA is filed under the name uncultured bacterium. RNAcentral's name for it is "partial 16S ribosomal RNA". It matches the Rfam family "Bacterial small subunit ribosomal RNA", at positions 29 to 507 of the family's 1533-position model. The record is from RNAcentral.